RNAcentral lists this ribosomal RNA (342 nucleotides) under Kiritimatiellia bacterium. Its description in RNAcentral is "bacterial SSU rRNA". It matches the Rfam family "Bacterial small subunit ribosomal RNA", at positions 1 to 328 of the family's 1533-position model. The record is from RNAcentral. Lineage: Bacteria; Pseudomonadati; Kiritimatiellota; Kiritimatiellia.
UUUUCUGAGAGUUUGAUUCUGGCUCAGAACGAACGCUGGUAGCGUGGAUUAGGCAUGCAAGUCGGACGGGAUCCGGAAGGUAGCAAUAUCGGCCGGUGAGAGUGGCGGACUGGGGAGGAACACGUGAGCAACUUGCCCGCAGGACGGGGAAAACCGUUGGAAACGACGGCUAAUACCGGAUGCGGCGCGCAUGGGACAUCCCGUGCGCGCCAAAGGGGGCCGCAAGGCUCCCGCCCGCGGAGAGGCUCGCGCACCAUCAGCUAGUUGGCGAGGUAACGGCCCACCAAGGCCUACGGUUAGCUGGUCUGAGAGGAUGACCAGCCCCACUGGGACUGAGACACU